Lolium rigidum is the source of this 461-nucleotide long non-coding RNA. RefSeq lists it as uncharacterized. Lineage: Eukaryota; Viridiplantae; Streptophyta; Magnoliopsida; Poales; Poaceae. The record is from RefSeq and is a predicted model, not a curated record. The transcript has 2 exons.
AGCUCAAGCGACAAAGAGAAAUUGGGGCGGUAAGGGAGGAAAAUUGGGCACCCAAAGUAAGGGAAAAGAGAGGAAAGCGAGAGAUGAGCAAACCAGUCCACAGAAAUUGGUUGAGAGAGGAGCUCUCACCUUUCAAGCGGCAGCCAGCUUGAUCCUCUGCCGGAUCUGCACCAACAUCCUCCUCCGCCAGCUUCUUGUCUCAUCGGCCAGCCUCCUCCUCUCCAGCAUGGCACAACCCUCUCCCAGGAGGGUGGCAAGUGUCUGCCGCACAACUUGAGUAAGAGUGCCUGCUACGGCUGAUCCAGGAUACGCCCAAAGAGGAGAUCCAUAUUGUGUACAUACAAAUUAUUGCCAAGUGAAUUAAGUUUUAAUUUUUAGUGCAAGGAGUAAUGAGCACAAAUAUAUAUGUGAUCUUUGACAACAAUAUGCUUUUCUUAGUGAUAAAUUUAAAUUAGUGCUUA